UACGGAGGGUGCAAGCGUUAAUCGGAAUUACUGGGCGUAAAGCGUGCGUAGGCGGUUCGUUAAGUCUGCUGUGAAAUCCCCGGGCUCAACCUGGGAAUGGCGGUGGAUACUGGGCAGCUAGAGUGUGUCAGAGGAUGGUGGAAUUCCCGGUGUAGCGGUGAAAUGCGUAGAGAUCGGGAGGAACAUCAGUGGCGAAGGCGGCCAUCUGGGACAACACUGACGCUGAAGCACGAAAGCGUGGGGAGCAAACGGG
This 253-nucleotide ribosomal RNA is filed under the name uncultured bacterium. RNAcentral describes it as "partial 16S ribosomal RNA". It matches the Rfam family "Bacterial small subunit ribosomal RNA", at positions 524 to 776 of the family's 1533-position model. The record is from RNAcentral.